This 500-nucleotide long non-coding RNA is filed under the name Coturnix japonica (Japanese quail). Its description in RNAcentral is "lncRNA (ENSCJPG00005000377.1)". Lineage: Eukaryota; Metazoa; Chordata; Aves; Galliformes; Phasianidae. The record is from RNAcentral.
AUGGACUUCACAGAUUUUCCACAAGCUGUUUCUUUUGUGCUUUCAAGCUUCUGGGAUCUCAAGAUGAAAAAGAUAGAAGCAGAUGAAAAAGUUAGAGGCAGGAGCAGAGGAACUCCCUUUGUUUCACUGAGGUCCCAUCUUAUCAACUGCACCUGUGUAACAGCUGAACUGCAGAGGCUGGGCAGAGACGUUAAUGUUAUUCCUCAGGAAGCCUGACACUUCAUUUCUAAUGGCAAAUAUAAGAUUUUCUCUCCAAGAAGCAAUUUAAUUUGUUAGCAAGAAUAUGAAGAGAAGCUCAUAGAGCUACCUGUAAAAACGUAUCCUUGUUCCAUUCUUCUGAUGGAUGCUGUUCGGUCAGUCAGCGAAAACAUCACAGGAAUUCCAUAGCAACUCAACAGGCAAUGCAAAAUGAAUUGCAGUGCUGGAUUAGGAAGGAACAUCACAGAAGAAGCAGGUGGGACUCUGGAGAAAAAAAUAAAUCAGACAACAGUACUUAGACA